UACGUAGGAGGCGAGCGUUGUCCGGAAUUACUGGGUGUAAAGCGCGCGUAGGUGGGAGGCCAAGUCUGUGGUGAAAGCGCCCGGCUCAACUGGGCAUGGUCCAUGGAAACUGGUCACCUGGAGGACGGUAGAGGCGAGUGGAAUUCCCGGUGUAGUGGUGAAAUGCGUAGAUAUCUGGAGGAACACCGGUGGCGAAGGCGACAUCCUGGACCGGUAUUGACGCUGAGGCGCGAAAGCCAGGGGAGCAAACGGG
RNAcentral lists this ribosomal RNA (253 nucleotides) under uncultured bacterium. RNAcentral's name for it is "partial 16S ribosomal RNA". It matches the Rfam family "Bacterial small subunit ribosomal RNA", at positions 524 to 776 of the family's 1533-position model. The record is from RNAcentral.